Molecule: ribosomal RNA, 467 nt
Filed under: uncultured bacterium
Lineage: Bacteria
Description: partial 16S ribosomal RNA
Rfam family: Bacterial small subunit ribosomal RNA
Source: RNAcentral
GAUGAACGCUGACAGAAUGCUUAACACAUGCAAGUCUACUUGAAUUUGGGUUUUUUCACUUAGAUUUGGGUGGCGGACGGGUGAGUAACGCGUAAAGAACUUGCCUCACAGCUAGGGACAACAUUUGGAAACGAAUGCUAAUACCUGAUAUUAUGAUUAUAAGGCAUCUUAGAAUUAUGAAAGCUAUAUGCGCUGUGAGAGAGCUUUGCGUCCCAUUAGCUAGUUGGAGAGGUAACGGCUCACCAAGGCGAUGAUGGGUAGCCGGCCUGAGAGGGUGAACGGCCACAAGGGGACUGAGACCCGGCCCUUACUCCUACCGGAGGCAGCCGUUGGGAAUAUUGGACAAUGGACCAAGAGUCUGAUCCAGCAAUUCUGUGUGCAAGAUGACGUUUUUCGGAAUGUAAAGUGCUUUCAGUUGGGAAGAAAAAAUGACGGUACCAACAGAAGAAGUGACGGCUAAAUACGUG